GUCAUCGGUGGGGUCUCCGGCCGUGUCUUCAUGGUCAAUGGCGGCGGGGCAGACAACAUCAGGUGAAGAUGUGCGUGAUUUUAGCAAGGUGCUGAAAAAUAAGUUCAGAUCAAAGAAAUACUUUGCCAAACAUCCUCGCUUGGGUUAUUUACCAGUACAAACAGUUCUAGAAGGCGAGAACCUUGAGACUGGAUCUGUUGGAGUUGCACACAGCGCAACGCGUCUUUGAUCAACACAAAUUGACACAAACCGAGCAACUUCUGAAUGUGACUGAAGUAAUCAACUGUUUAACGUCCAUUUAUGAUGUUUUGGAACAAAACCACAAGGACUUGGUCAAUGUGCCACUCUGUGUCGACAUGUGUCUGAACUGGCUGCUGAACGUAUUUGAUACGGGUAUGAGUGGAAGAAUCAGAGUGCUUUCUUUGAAAAUUGGCUUGACGUGACUCUUCAAGGAUCAUCUAGAGGAAAAAUACAAGUAUCUCUUCAAACAAGUCGCUGAACCCACAGAUUUAUGUGACCAACGAAGCCUGAGUCUUUUGCUUUACGAUGCAGUCCAGAUCCCUUGGCAGCUGGGUGAGGUAGCUUCAUUUGGAGGCUGCAACAUUGAACCAAGUAUCCGCAGUUGCUUCCAACAUGGCCAGAACAAACCAGAGAUUGAUGUUGAACGCUUUGUCGAGUGGAUGAGAUUGGAGCCUCAGUCCAUGGUGUGGCUGCCUGUUCGACACCGUGUGGCAGCUGCUGAAACUGCAAAACAUCAGGCUAAGUGUAACAUCUGCAAAGAGUACCCAAUCGUAGGUUUCAGGUACCGCAGUCUCAAGCACUUCAAUUCUGACAUCUGCCAAAGCUGUUUCUUUUCGGGGCGCACAUCAAAGGGACACAAGUUACAUUGCCCCAUGGUGGAGUACUGCACUCCGAACCUACCCCGGAAGAGAGAGCCCAGAGAAUUGCCAAAGCUGUCCGCAAACAGUCAAUAGAAGUGAAGGAAACUUGGGAGCAAUUGAAAACCCAUGCGAGCAACUGGCAGAAACAGGUGGAAAAGGUGUUGGAGAAACUUCAAGAACUGCAGAAAGCUCUGGAUGAUCUUGAGGCUCAUGUGAUAACAGCUGAAGGGGUCCGCACUGAUUGACAACCUGUGGGUGAACUGCUUAUUGACUCAUUGCAGGAUCACAUUGAUAAAACCACAGUUCAGCUAGGAUCCAGCUGUGCUUAGUUUCAAUUUGGCUUUGGAUCCAAUCUAAUAAUACUGUAAAGGAAUAUAAGAACCAAGGGCAGGAGAAGACUGUGCAGCCCACUGUGCCUGCUUCCUCAUUCACUACAAUUGUGGCUCAUCUUGGGCUUCAAAUUUGCUUUCCUGCUUGCUCCCUGAGUCCCUCGAUUCCCUGAGAGAAUGAAGGUAAAUUUUGUUCUUAAGUACAUUCAGUGAAAACACUUGAUAUAUAUUUGAUUUUAUCAUUAUGAGCCUGUUUUGAGCAGCAUUUUCUUGGGACGUAAAUUUUUUUUGGAUUUGUCACAAUCUAUAUUGGAAGAGCCUACUAGAGAUUGAACCCCACUAUUCCAUAAAUAAUUGUAAAUAUGACGAGUGUAACCUCAAGGAUUGUUAAUGUCUGACUGUUACCGUUAUUGAGGAUAAAAGAAAUUUUCUCCAGGCUUCAUCAAUUAAUGGGGGAAAAAGUACAUUUAUUAUUUUAAAUGUAUUCUUUAACAAGUGACAAAGUGGAUUAUUAAUGAUGAACAUGUAAACUUAAACCAUUCUACAUUCAGGUGCAGACAUGCAUACACUUGUCACCAAUAAGGUGGCAGGAUAGUCAAGAUGAACAGUUAUUCUGCAGUAUCGUGGGUGGGAGAUAUCAGUAAAAAGAACAAACCCUGCAGAACAAGACUCUCAGCCAAAAGCGGGGUAAAUGAGGUGACUUUCUCACAGUUCCUCUGCUUUUUGACAAUGGUGUCGUGUCACCGAUCACCACAUUGAUCCUCAAUUUGACAGUUGAUCAAUUGAACCUAUGUCUGGGCUUGGAUCAGAAAAAGGCCUGAUUCCACACUGUAGGCAUUCUAACACAAGUUUGAUUUGUGUAUGCUGAAAAGAUUUUGGGCCAGAAAGUCCUCAGCAAAGACAUUUUGGUUGAGAGUUAUGUGCUGUGUUGAAUUAAUGUAGCGACUGCCACCCACUGUUGUAGAGUAUAGCUGAAAAACAGAUGAGUAUGGAGGAACUGAUGGGUACAUCUCCAGCAAGGUAACAGCCUUUCAGGAAAAUUGCGCAAGUAACUAGUAAAAUUUGAGUGAGAUUUUUUGGUAAAUUAUUCUUUAACUGAAGUGCGGAAAAAUGUGAGCUCAGCGAUUUUUUUUUGGUGAUCAACUUCGACUCCAUUAUCCUGCAUCACAAUCAAAUUCUAAUAUUUCUGAACUGAAGAAUCAUAGAAUUUUACAGUAUAGAAGGUGGCCAUUUGGCCCACUCUGUCUGUACUGGCUCCUGAAAGAGCUACCCAGCUGUGUCUCUGUAGGCCUCUAAAUUCAGCACUUUCAAAUAUAUAUCUCAGGAAGGGUCACCGGACCUUAGAUGUUAAUUCCAA
Stegostoma tigrinum is the source of this 2567-nucleotide RNA transcript. It is a transcript of the gene named dystrophin-related protein 2-like, with no coding region annotated. The transcript has 9 exons. Lineage: Eukaryota; Metazoa; Chordata; Chondrichthyes; Orectolobiformes; Stegostomatidae. The record is from RefSeq and is a predicted model, not a curated record.